This 1359-nucleotide ribosomal RNA is filed under the name uncultured bacterium. Its description in RNAcentral is "bacterial SSU rRNA". It matches the Rfam family "Bacterial small subunit ribosomal RNA". The record is from RNAcentral.
GAGUUUGAUCCUGGCUCAGGACGAACGCUGGCGGCGCGCCUAACACAUGCAAGUCGAACGAGCGAGAGAGAGCUUGCUUUCUCGAGCGAGUGGCGAACGGGUGAGUAACGCGUGAGGAACCUGCCUCAAAGAGGGGGACAACAGUUGGAAACGACUGCUAAUACCGCAUAAGCCCACAGCUCGGCAUCGAGCAGAGGGAAAAGGAGCAAUCCGCUUUGAGAUGGCCUCGCGUCCGAUUAGCUAGUUGGUGAGGUAACGGCCCACCAAGGCGACGAUCGGUAGCCGGACUGAGAGGUUGAACGGCCACAUUGGGACUGAGACACGGCCCAGACUCCUACGGGAGGCAGCAGUGGGGAAUAUUGCACAAUGGGGGAAACCCUGAUGCAGCGACGCCGCGUGGAGGAAGAAGGUCUUCGGAUUGUAAACUCCUGUUGUUGAGGAAGACAAUGACGGUACUCAACAAGGAAGUGACGGCUAACUACGUGCCAGCAGCCGCGGUAAAACGUAGGUCACAAGCGUUGUCCGGAAUUACUGGGUGUAAAGGGAGCGCAGGCGGGAAGACAAGUUGGAAGUGAAAUCCAUGGGCUCAACCCAUGAACUGCUUUCAAAACUGUUUUUCUUGAGUAGUGCGGAGGUAGGCGGAAUUCCCGGUGUAGCGGUGGAAUGCGUAGAUAUCGGGAGGAACACCAGUGGCGAAGGCGGCCUACUGGGCACCAACUGACGCUGAGGCUCGAAAGUGCGGGUAGCAAACAGGAUUAGAUACCCUGGUAGUCCACACUGUAAACGAUGAUUACUAGGUGUUGGAGGAUUGACCCCUUCAGUGCCGCAGUUAACACAAUAAGUAAUCCACCUGGGGAGUACGACCGCAAGGUUGAAACUCAAAGGAAUUGACGGGGGCCCGCACAAGCAGUGGAGUAUGUGGUUUAAUUCGACGCAACGCGAAGAACCUUACCAAGUCUUGACAUCCUGCGACGCACAUAGAAAUAUGUGUUUCCUUCGGGACGCAGAGACAGGUGGUGCAUGGUUGUCGUCAGCUCGUGUCGUGAGAUGUUGGGUUAAGUCCCGCAACGAGCGCAACCCUUAUGGUCAGUUACUACGCAAGAGGACUCUGGCCAGACUGCCGUUGACAAAACGGAGGAAGGUGGGGAUGACGUCAAAUCAUCAUGCCCUUUAUGACUUGGGCUACACACGUACUACAAUGGCGUUAAACAAAGAGAAGCAAGACCGCGAGGUGGAGCAAAACUCUGAAACAACGUCCCAGUUCGGACUGCAGGCUGCAACUCGCCUGCACGAAGUCGGAAUUGCUAGUAAUCGCAGAUCAGCAUGCUGCGGUGAAUACGUUCCCGGGCCUUGACACAC